Molecule: ribosomal RNA, 133 nt
Filed under: uncultured bacterium
Lineage: Bacteria
Description: partial 16S ribosomal RNA
Source: RNAcentral
GAGGUACCGUCAAUCGGGCACCCUAUUCAGGUACCCGGCAUUNUUCCCCCUGACAGUGGUUUACACCCCGAAAGGCUUCCUCCCACACGCGGCGUCGCUGCGUCAGACUUUCGUCCAUUGCGCAAUAUUCCCC